AUGAAAGACUCGGACUCUGAAAUCUCCUCCAUGAAACCCAGCAACAAUAAUAAUGCUGCCAAGCUCACAAAGCCUCCUUUCGUACCAGCCAAAGACGACACCAAACCUGUGCUUCAAGACCCAGUCAGUUCUCUCUCUCUCUCUCUCUCUCUACACAAUACAAACAUAAAGGUUAUUCUUUUCUGGGUUUGGUUUUUAUUAAUUGGACUUUUUUUUUGCUUUUUGUUGUUGGUAGAUACUGAGGUCUGAUCCGAUUGAGACAGAGGAAGCUGUGCUUCGGUUGCCUCCAUUUCCUAUUAACAGAUCAAAAAAUCCUCAACCCAAAAUGAGUUGA
RNAcentral lists this long non-coding RNA (334 nucleotides) under Prunus dulcis (almond). Its description in RNAcentral is "sRNA ncRNA". Lineage: Eukaryota; Viridiplantae; Streptophyta; Magnoliopsida; Rosales; Rosaceae. The record is from RNAcentral.